This 62-nucleotide transfer RNA is filed under the name Ledra auditura. RNAcentral's name for it is "tRNA-Glu". The record is from RNAcentral. RNAcentral also lists the same sequence under 1 other name. Lineage: Eukaryota; Metazoa; Arthropoda; Insecta; Hemiptera; Cicadellidae.
GUUUUUAUAGUUUAAUUAAAACUUUUUAUUUUCAUUAAAAAGAUGGUCACCCUUUAAAUACU